Molecule: RNA transcript, 2523 nt
Organism: Taeniopygia guttata (zebra finch)
Lineage: Eukaryota; Metazoa; Chordata; Aves; Passeriformes; Estrildidae
Gene: NEMP1
Gene name: nuclear envelope integral membrane protein 1
Source: RefSeq, a predicted model, not a curated record
CCACGCGUGACCCGUUCGCGCCAACAACGCGAGGCCGCGCCCUGAUAGGCGGAGGCGGUUGUCAAUCACCGAGGGAUGAGGGCGUGGCUUGUUGUGCCUGCGCUCUGAUUGGUCGAGGGGCGAGUCUGUCAGAGCCGUUACCGGGGUGGGGCGUGGCCGUUGAGUGAAUGGCGGGCAUGUUGGUCACCGUGGUAACCGAGGGCGGGAACAUGGCUGCUUCCUGCAUGCUCACUGCUGAUAGGUUAAAAGCACUGUCAAUCAACGUGGCAGAAGCAGAGGGGCGGGGCGCGAGAUCAAAGCUGAAUGUUGAUAGGUUAAACCAACUGUCAAUCGACGACAAAGCCCGGCGAGCGCCUCUCCUAUUGGCUGCGUACGCGCCUCGGCGGAGGGGCCGGGCGGAAGCGGAAGCGGCCGGCGCCGCCGCGGCGGGAGGGAUGAAACCGGCACCGGGGCGGCAGCGGCUGCCGGGACUGUCGGUGCUGCUGCUGCUGUUCCUGUCCUUCCAGCUCCUGGAAGCUGCAGGCUCCAAGGAUGGGAUCAUCACGCUGGAGGAGGGCCACGCGUCCCAGCACCGGGAAUCCCAACGCUUCUGCUACACCAACACCCGUGUCCCGCGGUGGAACGACGUCUGGACCAGGACACAGAUCCGCGUCACCAGCAGCCGGAUGAUCCGCGUCACUCAGGUGGACAGCGAGGAGGAGCUGGAGAAGUUCAGCCUGUGGAACGUGCUGUUCUCCUUCCUGCGGGGCAAACUCAACGACACCAGCAUCGACGUGGAUCUCUACAGCAACAAAACCUGCCUCAAGGUCGAGCUGCUGGAGCCCGGCACCACCUACUCCGUCGUCCUCUUCCGACGUUUUGACCCUAAGCUGUUCCUUGUUUUCUUCCUGGGCCUGCUGUUGUUUUUCUGUGGGGACACAAUGAGCAGGAGCCAAAUCUUCUACUACUCAGCUGGGAUCAGUGUUGGCUUGUUGGCCUCGAUGCUUGUCCUUGUCUACAUGAUGUCCAAGGUCAUGCCCAAGAAAAGCCCUGUGUACUUCCUGCUGUUUGGAGGUUGGUCCUUUUCCCUGUACCUGCUCCAGCUGAUCUUCAAGAACCUGCGGGAGAUCUGCAAGUCCUACUGGCAGUACCUGUUAGGUUACCUGCUGUUGGUGGGCUUGCUGAGCUUCGCCGUGUGCUACAGGUACGGCCCCUUGGAGAACGAGCGCAGCAUCAACCUCCUGUCCUGGGCCCUGCAGCUCCUGGGGCUGCUGCUGAUGUACUCGGGCAUCCAGAUCCACCCCAUCGCCCUGGGCCUGGUGCUCAUCGCUGUCUGCACCAAGAACCUGGAUUACCCCUUGCAGUGGGCCUUCGCUGUCUACCGGAGGGUGCAGAGUUCCAAGCUGGGCCCGACCCCCCCUCGGCUGCUGACAGAGGAGGAAUUUCAGCUCCAGGGCGAGGUGGAGACCCGCAAGGCCCUGGCAGAGCUGCGGAGCUUCUGCCAGAGCCCCGAAUUCUCUGCCUGGACCACGGUGUCCCGCAUCCAGUCUCCCAAAAGGUUUGCUGACUUUGUGGGUGGUGCUUCCCACGUCACCCCCAACGAGGUGUCAGCCCACGAGCGGGAAUUCGGCCUGGAAAGUCUCUCCAUUGAUGAGGAGCUCUUUGAGGAGGAUGAUGAUGAUGACGAAGAGGAGGAAAACAUUCGUGACUCCUCUGAUGGGAAUCACAGGAGUGAUUUCCUGCCCCACAACCAUGUGGAAGUCCAAUGAGGUCAGCUGCCCUGACCUGGCCAAGGAGCGGGACCACUGCUGGGCUGCUCCAGGUGCCUGAGGGUGAGGUGACACACACGAGAGGAACUUUGGACCUGUCCCGCUGGUACCUGCGUGCUCAGCACCUGCCUGGAGCCGUGGUGAGGGAGCUGCCAGUGACCUGCUCCUCCUCCUCCUCCUGUUACAAACACCUCAGAGGACUCCAGCUGGUCGGGCCACACCUCUGCUUGGCCUCAGUCCCGUGUGGAUACCAAAAACAACACCUGGCGCUUCCUCGAUGGAGCUGUGGAGCCUCGGGGUCUGCUGGCUGCCCCUGGAGGUGGUGUUGGGGUAGAGGCCGUGCUCAGCCCCCUCUCCCCAUGCCAGAGCUGAGGAUGAGUGUGGAUAUGCUUCCUCCCUGCCUCUCUGCCUUUCUCCUGCUGUUACUCCUCUCUCAGUGGGUGUGGGCAGCGACUGAGGGUGACCCCACUGAUAUUGCAGUGGGGAGCUCUGCCAAAGCCCAAAGCUGGAGGGGACACCCCAAUCUAUGCAACUUCCUAAGCAAUAACUGCCCUCACCUCCUCGCAGUGUCUCAGCUGCCCUGGGGAUGCCCAGCCCAGCCCCCACCUUAGCUGGAGCUUCUGCCAUCAGUUUGUCCUGUCCCAGGUCUGUCCCUGUCCCAGCCCUUGCUGUGCUUUCCUCCCUGCUCGGCUGUGAGCAGACUCUGUUACUUCGUUCCCCCCCGCCUCAGCGUGUUGGAUGACUGGUUAUAUUUUUAAUAAAGAUGUAUUUUUUA